This is a long non-coding RNA of Oncorhynchus tshawytscha (Chinook salmon), 1185 nucleotides long. NCBI's taxonomy places the organism in Eukaryota, Metazoa, Chordata, Actinopteri, Salmoniformes, Salmonidae. The record is from Ensembl.
GUGGGAGAAUGGAGAGCUGCAAAGGCUAACGCCCCGGGGCCAUGUUUUUAUUCACACAGGAGACGGCUGUGGCAGUGGAGGAGAAUCCAUGUCGCCUGGUUCCAUGGUUGGAAGCCAUGAUAGAGAUAUGAUGACCUUGCAUCACAAUGUCCAUUCCACAAAGGUAGUAGUAGCUAGCCUGCAGCGGUGGACCAGUGCCAGGAAUGGCCCUCCAAGGACCUGAGCCCUAGGACCAUGCCUCAGGUCUAACUGGCAUGAUGACUCCUUGCUGUCCCUGUUCUGCCAGCGGCUAUGGAACCCUGAACUGUUCACUGGACGUGCUACCUGUCCCAGACCUGCUGUUUUCAACUCUCUAGAGACAGCAGAGCGGUAGAGAUACUCUCAAUGAUCGGCUAUGAAAAGCCAACUGACAUUUACUCCUGAGGUGCUGACUUGUUGCACCCUCGACAACUACUGUGAUUAUUAUUAUUAUUUGACCAUGCUGGUCAUUUAUGAACAUUUGAACAUCUUGGCCAUGUUCUGUUAUCAUCUCCACCCAGCACAGCCAGAAGAGGACUGGCCACCCCUCAUAGCCUGGUUCCUCUUUAGGUUUCUUCAUAGGUUUUUGCCUUUCUAGGGAGUUUUUCCUAGCCACCGUGCUUCUACACUUGCGUUGCUUGCUGUUUGGGGUUUUAGGCUGGGUUUCUGUACAGCACUUUGAGAUAUCAGCUGAUGUAAGAAGGGCUAUACAGUAUAAAUACAUUUGAUUUGAUACAUGUUUUGGAAUACUUUAAUUCUGUACAGGAUUCCUUCUUUUCACUCUGUCAUUGAGGUUAGUAUUGUAUAGUAACUACAAUGUUGUUGAUCCAUCUUCAGUUUUCUCUCCAAUCACAGCCAUUCAACUCUGUAAACUGUUUUAAAGUCACCAUUGGCCUCAUGGUAAAAUCCCUGAGCGGUCUCCUUCCUCUCCUGCAAACCGUAUCUUUGUAGUGACUGGCUGUAUUGAUACCUCAUCCAAAGUGUAAUGAAUAACUUCACCACACUCAAAGGGAUAUUCAAUGUCUGUUUUUAUUUUAUUUUUGCCCAUCUACCAAUAGGUGCCCUUCUUUGUGGUUGAAUCUGUGUUUGAAGUUCAAUGCUCGACUGAGGAACCUUACAGAUAAUUGUAUGUGUGGGGUACAGAGAUGAGGUAGUCAUUAAAAAAUC